CAGCCGCCACGGGAAUACGUAGGUGGCAAGCGUUGUCCGGAAUUAUUGGGCGUAAAGGGCUCGCAGGCGGUUUCUUAAGUCUGAUGUGAAAGCCCCCGGCUCAACCGGGGAGGAUCAUUGGAAACUGGGAAACUUGAGUGCAGAAGAGGAGAGUGGAAUUCCACGUGUAACGGUGAAAUGCGUAGAGAUGUGGAGGAACACCAGUGGCGAAGGCGACUCUCUGGUCUGUAACUGACGCUGAGGAGCGAAAGCGUGGGGAGCGAACAGGAUUAGAUACCCGCGUAGUCCCUGUCUCUUAUAC
This 301-nucleotide ribosomal RNA is filed under the name uncultured bacterium. RNAcentral describes it as "partial 16S ribosomal RNA". It matches the Rfam family "Bacterial small subunit ribosomal RNA", at positions 509 to 807 of the family's 1533-position model. The record is from RNAcentral.